GCUUGAGGAGAGGCAAGCUCAAUUAAGCAGUGUGUGUGCAAUUUCAGGGAAAUGGGGUCUGCUUCUUAGAAUCUACAAGAAUGCAAGGCCUCUUGAGCAAAAGUAUGGGGGUGUUUCUUUUUUUAAUGGAUCACCUGGUGGGGCCUCAACACCCCUAUUCUUCUUUCCCAAGGUGGAAGAGCUGCUAACUGCAGAAAUGACGUCAGUCCCAGCUUGUAAUGGUGCUGACUGGGGAUGGGCAUGAUCAAAUGUUGCUCCGGGUGAUGUUUGGCUCUCUCUGGCCACCUUUCAUCUGGAGCAUCUCAUAACACUUUACAGGAGAUAGUUAAUUAUACUUCCUGAGGCUUUGGGCAGGAACAUGCAUCACAGACUGCACUUACGUCUGUGACUAUGUCAGAAGAAAUGCUCAAGGACUAAUUACUUUGCAUUUGUAUGUAUCAUCUCCUUUCACAUGGGAUCUCAAAGCAAUUUCCCAAGAAACAAACUUUGACCUAUGGAAGAAAAAAAAGAUGUUUUUCAUAUGAACACAGUAAAAUUCACAGCAUAUGAAGGAAGAGCUGAACAGGCUCACAUCUGUAAGGAUAAGUGGGUCAAGCAAUGAGAAGGGAUACCAAGCUGAGCUUAGUCUCCAGAGGCUUCUACAGGAUCACAUGUCUCUUCAGAAAUGCCAUUUUAACUGAUGUGGAAGUUGAUAAAAGUGAUGCCCCAAGAGAUCUUCAGUCAUCAGAUCAACAUUCAUGUUAUGAGCAAAAAGGCUCUCUGACUUUCAUUCAGCCCAAGACCCAGAGUUAAACUGGGUUUAACCAGCUAACUGGUUCCUUGUUGAUCAAAAGGUAACACUUUUGAGAUGGGCAUGUGAUGACUCCGGCAGACAUCCAGUUGUGUUUCAAAAGGACAUGGAUUCUAGGACACCAAGAGAGACGUGUCUAAUAAGUUGUUUUGGUCUCUAAAAGUUAUCUGAGUGGCCAACACACCGGUAGGGACAUGACCCAAUUGCUUGGGCAGGGGCAGAACAAAUUGGAACUAGAGCUGUGCUGGAGACAGGAUUCCAAAGCCAAGUCCAUGAAGCUAUAAGCAAUAAAUGAUUUUCC
Molecule: long non-coding RNA, 1091 nt
Filed under: Vulpes vulpes (red fox)
Lineage: Eukaryota; Metazoa; Chordata; Mammalia; Carnivora; Canidae
Description: lncRNA (ENSVVUG00000004915.1)
Source: RNAcentral